GACGAACGCUGGCGGCGUGCUUAACACAUGCAAGUCGAACGGAAAGGCCCUGCUUUUGUGGGGUGCUCGAGUGGCGAACGGGUGAGUAACACGUGAGUAACCUGCCCUUGACUUUGGGAUAACUUCAGGAAACUGGGGCUAAUACCGGAUAGGAGCUCCUGCUGCAUGGUGGGGGUUGGAAAGUUUCGGCGGUUGGGGAUGGACUCGCGGCUUAUCAGCUUGUUGGUGGGGUAGUGGCUUACCAAGGCUUUGACGGGUAGCCGGCCUGAGAGGGUGACCGGCCACAUUGGGACUGAGAUACGGCCCAGACUCCUACGGGAGGCAGCAGUGGGGAAUAUUGCACAAUGGGCGGAAGCCUGAUGCAGCAACGCCGCGUGCGGGAUGACGGCCUUCGGGCUGUAAACCGCUUUCGCCUGUGACGAGGCGUGAGUGACGGUAAUGGGUAAAGAAGCACCGGCUAACUACGUGCCAGCAGCCGCGGUGAUACGUAGGGUGCGAGCGUUGUCCGGAUUUAUUGGGCGUAAAGGGCUCGUAGGUGGUUGAUCGCGUCGGAAGUGUAAUCUUGGGGCUUAACCCUGAGCGUGCUUUCGAUACGGGUUGACUUGAGGAAGGUAGGGGAGAAUGGAAUUCCUGGUGGAGCGGUGGAAUGCGCAGAUAUCAGGAGGAACACCAGUGGCGAAGGCGGUUCUCUGGGCCUUUCCUGACGCUGAGGAGCGAAAGCGUGGGGAGCGAACAGGCUUAGAUACCCUGGUAGUCCACGCUGUAAACGGUGGGUACUAGGUGUGGGGUCCAUUCCACGGGUUCCGUGCCGUAGCUAACGCUUUAAGUACCCCGCCUGGGGAGUACGGCCGCAAGGCUAAAACUCAAAGGAAUUGACGGGGCCCCGCACAAGCGGCGGAGCAUGCGGAUUAAUUCGAUGCAACGCGUAGAACCUUACCUGGGUUUGACAUGGAUCGGGAGUGCUCAGAGAUGGGUGUGCCUCUUUUGGGGUCGGUUCACAGGUGGUGCAUGGCUGUCGUCAGCUCAUGUCGUGAGAUGUUGGGUUAAGUCCCGCAACGAGCGCAACCCUUGUUCACUGUUGCCAGCACGUUAUGGUGGGGACUCAGUGGAGACCGCCGGGGUCAACUCGGAGGAAGGUGGGGAUGACGUCAAGUCAUCAUGCCCCUUAUGUCCAGGGCUUCACGCAUGCUACAAUGGCUGGUACAGAGAGUGGCGAGCCUGUGAGGGUGAGCGAAUCUCGGAAAGCCGGUCUCAGUUCGGAUUGGGGUCUGCAACUCGACCUCAUGAAGUCGGAGUCGCUAGUAAUCGCAGAUCAGCAACGCUGCGGUGAAUACGUUCCCGGGGCU
This 1346-nucleotide ribosomal RNA is filed under the name uncultured bacterium. Its description in RNAcentral is "partial 16S ribosomal RNA". It matches the Rfam family "Bacterial small subunit ribosomal RNA", at positions 28 to 1381 of the family's 1533-position model. The record is from RNAcentral.